AGGAGGACAUGCUCUUCUGCUCCAACAGAGAACAGGGCAGGGCUUUCACUGCCUCGUGUCCUCUCCACAUGAACAACUUAUCCAGUCAACAGCGAUAACAAAAGAAGUUCAGCGCUGAGGCUGAACCUCCACUUCAUUAGCCAGAGGCCCCUCGGAUACAUUUACACCUCAAACACCGAGGAGGGAGAGGGAGAAGACAGACACAGACAGAGGAAGAUUCACAAUAAA
This is a long non-coding RNA of Sphaeramia orbicularis (orbiculate cardinalfish), 228 nucleotides long. RefSeq lists it as uncharacterized. The record is from RefSeq and is a predicted model, not a curated record. Lineage: Eukaryota; Metazoa; Chordata; Actinopteri; Kurtiformes; Apogonidae. The transcript is spliced from 3 exons.